Molecule: long non-coding RNA, 3902 nt
Organism: Taeniopygia guttata (zebra finch)
Lineage: Eukaryota; Metazoa; Chordata; Aves; Passeriformes; Estrildidae
Source: Ensembl
AGUCCUGCUGAGGCUUUUGAGCGAGUCACCGAUACGGGACUAAAAAUACCACCGGGGGCCUCAAGUUUUUAUUUUUCCUGUUCAACAGCACUUACAACAAAAACACCCAGCCAAAAUAGCAGCACAAAACCGGCUGAGCCCCUGGUGGGUGAUGAAGGAGCUGGGGGUGGGCAGGUGAGAAGGUUCUGACUGUGCUGGGGCGGCCAGAGGAGGAGGAGGAGGAGGAGGAGGAAGAGAAGGAGCAUUCCUCUGCAGCAGAACAGGCUUCCAAGCAAGAUAACCCCAAGUUCUGUGGUGCACAAUUCUCUGCAGCUUUGGAUGAUGCUGAGCCAAAUAUAAGGAGCAUAAUCCUCUAUUUUCUGUGCUGCUGAAUACUGGCAGUGUGAUUUUGUCAGUGCAUUUGUCCUUUCUGGUGUAUUUAAUGGAGCUUUGUCUGACUGCUCUGGUGCAUCCAGGACACUGGGCAUCCAAGAUCCCCUUGUGGCCAUGCUGGCAGCCAGCCUUUGGGGAGAAACCUUUCCAGGAGUUCAUCUUUCAGCCUCCUGGCCAAUUUUCAAGAGAGCAUUGGCAGAAUCUUUCCCAAUGCCCAGGGAAUGCCAGGCAGGUGUGGGGAUUUUACAUCCCGUGGCUCUGGAAGCAAAUUCCCCAAGGUAACAGCAAAGGUGUGCUGGGAUGCUCCCACAGGAGCUUCGUGAGCAGGACAGGGGUCAGGGAAGAGGUUUUGGAAAAGCCAGGGAAUCUCAGAAAACAGGAAGCUGGACAGGACAAACGCAGAUCCAAACCAAUGUGGUUAAUCAAACAUUCUCCUUUCAUUCCAGAGAAGAUGGCAGUUUUUAUACACUUCUACAUAGUUUACAGGUUACAAAGGCACUCUGAUUGGCACGCUAACAUUGUUUAGCUUUGCCUUAAGGUGGUCAAACUUUUCACACUGCAGCUCUACCCUAAUUCACGCUCAGAUAGCUGAUUACUUUGUAGUUACCUUAACAUAAUUUCUGACUGCGCCACAAUUAAUUUCUCACUGCAUCAAAGGCCUCCAGGCCCCACCAAGGCCGAUUAUCAGGGCCUGGUCUGAGGGGUAGCUCAAGUCUCACUCCAGACAUAAAUCAUGUUCUCUGUUACUCAAAAAUUCUGUAACAUUUGGGGUUUUGCUGGUGGGAUUUAGGGAGCAGGAGUGAAGCAAGGAGGGUUUGGAGGUAGGGCUGGGCACAAUCCUGAGCUGCCCCUGGGUUCAGAGGGGUCCGGAGCCCCUCGUGUGUUGCAGAACGAAGCAAGAGGAAAGGGCUGCUCCAUAAUAUCCCUGCUGAGGCCGCCUGGCACUGCUUGGUUAACGUGCCCAGGGAAAGGAGGACGAGCAGAUGUUUUCAGUCAGGCUCUUUGCAGCACAAAGCAGCAGUGGGGAAGUCCCUGAAAUGUCCCUGCACUUUGGUUUUCUGCUAAGACCCUGCUCAAACAGGAGCAGAAGCAGACAGAUCCGCAGCGUUCUUGAAGAAGUGGUGAUGAUGAAAUUCAGUCAGGGGAUGCUGGGUCACACAGGGGUGUCCCCUCACCUGUCCCUCACCCUGGGGAGCAGCAGGUCAAGGGAUCGGACACACGGGGACACCCAGGUGACAGCUCUGGUGUCAUGGACAGGUCACUGCACGUCCUCCCCUUUGUGAUGCAGUUAAGAGAGACAGUGCAGCUGUGGCUUGGGGGAAAGAUGAUUAACCGUUAUAACCCAAAUUACAGCUCCUAAUUGGGAUUAAUUUGGUGAGUUAAUUAUGUGUGGAAAUCUGUUGCCUCCCACUUUUCCUUGAUGAACUUCUUGCUCCCGAGCCCAGUCCCAGCCUGGCCACAGCUGGGCACAGCUGGAAGGGCAGAGGGCUGUCACUGCUGUGUGGUGACACAGAGAUUGUGGUGGCACUGCUGGUGACAGCCAGAGGGGCUCCAGUUUAGCACCCAGGCAUGGCCACUGUCUGACCCAGGUGCAGAGAUGGCAAAGGGUGGGGACAGGAACCAAGAGGGCUCAGACCUCAGUGCCAAACCUGAACGGGCCUUUGCAGAGGGACAGAAAUGUCACAGGAACCUGGGGGCAGCUGAGGAAAGUCUUGCUGAUGCCCUCAGGGGCUGAGGAACCUUGCAGGUAAAUCUGGUGGAGCUUCCCUGCACCCCUGACCUGCUCACGAAGCUCCUGUGGGAGCAUCCCAGCACACCUUUGCUGUUACCCUGGGGAAUUUGCUUCCAGAUGGCUUUAAAAUAAAACAGGGUCAUUUCAGACUGAAUAUAAGGAAAAAAAUAUUUAUAGUGUGGGUGGUGAGGCCCUGGCACAGGUGCCCAGAGAAGCUGUAGCUGCCCCUGGAUCCCUGGAAGUGUCCAAGGCCAGGCUGGAUGAGGUUUGGAGCAGCCUGGGACAGUGGAAAAUGUCCUGCCCAUGGCAGAGGUUGGAAUUAAAUGAGCUUUAAAACUUCCAAGCCAAACCAUUCCAUGAUUCUGUGAUUCCCAUCUGUCCCAGCAGUGUCCAGGCCUGCUGUGCUCCCUGUUCCAUGUACAGACCCUGCCCUGCUCCCACUGCUGCACACAGCCAGACAGCUGGCAGAGCUGCUGGAGCUCCUAUUAUUUUUUCUCAGCACUCUCCUGAAAAUUAAUUAAUUCCAUUAAUUCAUUAAAUAAACAUUCCUCCACGCUCUGAGCCAGCUGUGCACGGUGUCAAGCUGCAAGAAUAUCACUCAUUGCCAGUCUGAAUUUCCAGGUCCCAGUCCUAGUGACAGCAAACCAGGGGAAUUUUGGAAGGAAUUGGGUCUGGGAGUGAGGGUUGCAAUGCAACAUUCAGCAAAAAAUGAAAAUGAAAUGCUCUGCACACAAAGCUCUGGAGUGGCUGCAUUUUCAUGCAGGUUGGGAAGUCUUCCCUUAUUUCUUAGUGAUGCUGUCAGAUGCUUUGAAUCCUUAGAUGAAAGGCACUAAAUUAGGCCAGAUUGUUGUUUCCUGUUUUCUGGUUUAUAUUUAGAGAGAAGCUGAUACCUCUGGCAGCUCUCUCUAACACAAAAACAAAUUUCUCUCCUGUUUCUAACUGGUCUCUGCUGGAACCUCAGUUCAGAGGGUGCAGGGUGGUGGGAGCCCUCUGAGGGAUGGAGAGGAGAUGGGAACACCCACCUUGCCCUUUCCUCUGGCAUUCCAGAGCCAAAAGCCAGGCCUUGGGAGUGGACUCGUCAUUCAUCCAUUUAUUCUUGCCCUCCUGAUGCUCUUUGCAGGCAGCAGUGGCACCUGUGCCAAGAAGAUGCCAAACCCUACAGAGCCACCAAAACCCCCCAAGCAUUCCCCUCUCUCCCCAGCCUCCCCAGAUUUAAUUUCCCCCCUCUCCAGAGGAGCUGGAUGCUGAGGGCUGGGUCCUGGCUCAGCUGCCACCCUCCCUGGGCUGGGGGAUGUCCCAUCCUGUCCCCUCCUCAGGCACGGGCAGGAGAAGCUGCUCCCUCAGCAUUUCUGCUCUGCUCUGGGGAUGGCUCUCGGUAUUUCUCUGCCUGCCUCGGGGAAUAAUAUUGAAUGGGCCUUAUCUCUCCUGAGAAAAUAUCGAUCCCGAGUUUUAAAGGCUUUCCACUAACGAGUGGUGUCCAUAAAAACGGGAAUGCUCAGCCCCACCGCUCUGAGAAGGACUUUCACUCUCAAUCCACAUCCCUUCUGCAAGGUACAAUAAAAUAAAGAAUGAAAAAGAAAGAAAAAAAAAAAAAGGCAGAAGAUUUUGCUGCUCUUUUCACCCAGUCUGAGGACAGAUUUUCAAUUUGUUCACUUUCUUCACAGCUCUGGGUUUGCCACAGGGAGAGAGAGAGAGACGAGGGAAGGGGACAGAAAUUAAAUGCAUUCGUUUAUUUUGGGAAAGUCAUCCUAAAAGGGGAAAAAUAUUAUUAAAAAAAAAGAAAAAAAAAAGAAAAAAA